This 492-nucleotide ribosomal RNA is filed under the name uncultured bacterium. Its description in RNAcentral is "partial 16S ribosomal RNA". It matches the Rfam family "Bacterial small subunit ribosomal RNA", at positions 28 to 523 of the family's 1533-position model. The record is from RNAcentral.
GAUGAACGCUGGAGGCGUGCCUUAAGCAUGCAAGUGAAACGGGUUUUUGGUCGCAAGAUCGAAAACUAGUCGCAGACGGGUGAGUAAUACGUAGGAAUCUACCCUUUGGCGGGGAAUAACUUGGCGAAAGCCGGGCUAAUACCGCAUAAGAUCGCAAGAUGAAAGGCCUUUACGGGUCACCGAAGGAGGAGCCUAUGUCCUAUCAGCUAGUUGGUGGGGUAAGGACCUACCAAGGCGACGAUCAGUAGCUGGUCUGAGAGGACGAUCAGCGACACUGGGACUGAGACACGGCCAAGACUCCUACGGGAGGCAGCAGUGGGGAAUUUUGGACAAUGGGCGAAAGCCUGAUCCAGCAAUGCCGCGUGUGUGAAGAAGGCCUUCGGGUUGUAAAGCACUUUUGUCCGGAAAGAAAUGGCUCUGGUUAAUACCUGGGGUCGAUGACGGUACCGGAAGAAUAAGGACCGGCUAACUACGUGCCAGCCGCCGCCGUAA